AGAGUUUGAUCAUGGCUCAGGAUGAACGCUAGCUACAGGCUUAAUACAUGCAAGUCGAGGGGAAACGACAUCGAAAGCUUGCUUUUGAUGGGCGUCGACCGGCGCACGGGUGAGUAACGCGUAUCCAACCUGCCCACCACUUGGGGAUAACCUUGCGAAAGUAAGACUAAUACCCAAUGACGUCUCUAGAAGACAUCUGAAAGAGAUUAAAAGAUUUAUCGGUGAUGGAUGGGGAUGCGUCUGAUUAGCUUGUUGGCGGGGUAACGGCCACCAAGGCGACGAUCAGUAGGGGUUCUGAGAGGAAGGUCCCCCANAUUGGAACUGAGACACGGUCCAAACUCCUACGGGAGCA
Molecule: ribosomal RNA, 352 nt
Filed under: uncultured bacterium
Lineage: Bacteria
Description: bacterial SSU rRNA
Rfam family: Bacterial small subunit ribosomal RNA
Source: RNAcentral